This 523-nucleotide unclassified non-coding RNA is filed under the name Hevea brasiliensis (rubber tree). Lineage: Eukaryota; Viridiplantae; Streptophyta; Magnoliopsida; Malpighiales; Euphorbiaceae. The record is from RNAcentral.
UUGAUGGCCCAAAAGGAGUUCAUAGAAGACAAUGCAUUUCAUGCUGAGGAUUAUACAUUAAUGUUUUCCAGGGAUGCCCCCUUCCCAUGAGAAAAGCUUACAUUCAUGGGACUGAAGGUAUGCUCUAUCCAAUAUCGUGCAUAUAACUGUUUCUGAUGCAAGAUAAACGUAUAAUGAAUUCAAUUUUUUGUGCAUUAUCUUCUAUGAACUCCUUUUGGGCCAUCAACAGAUACAGCCAGGCUAGAACAAACAAAGCGUGGUGAGACUUCUGCCGUAGGUCUUGGCCACAUGAAACCUAAGUAGUGCCAUAACAAGCAUGGCCAAAACCAGUUUAUAUCAGUAUUCCGGGGUUUAAGCAAUUGUCUCCAGUUGACACCAAUCAAAUAUCGACAACAGGAGGAGGUAAUUUCCAGAAAUUCCAUGAAUUAAAAUCCUCCUGCUCAGAUGAUGUCAUGGCUGGGAACAUGUCAUGCACAAGAUCAUGAAGCGAAGUAUAUGAUUUUGUGUCAACACGGCGGUUCAC